GCGGAGGAAAAGAAACUAACAAGGAUUCCCCUAGUAACGGCGAGUGAAGCGGGAUGAGCUCAAAUUUAAAAUCUGGCGGCCUCAGGUCGUCCGAGUUGUAGUCUAGAGAAUCGUUUUCCGCGUUGGCCUGUGUACAAGUCCCUUGGAACAGGGCGUCAUAGAGGGUGAGAAUCCCGUCCUUGACACAGAUUACCAAUGCUUUGUGAUGCGAUCUCGAAGAGUCGAGUUGUUUGGGAAUGCAGCUCAAAAUGGGUGGUAAAUUCCAUCUAAAGCUAAAUAUUGGCGAGAGACCGAUAGCGAACAAGUACCGUGAGGGAAAGAUGAAAAGCACUUUGGAAAGAGAGUUAAACAGUACGUGAAAUUGUUAAAAGGGAAACGAUUGAAGUCAGUCAUGCUUUCCGAGACUCAGCCGAUUCUGUCGGUGUACUUCUCGGUUGGCAGGCCAGCAUCAGUUUCGAUCUGUGGAAAAGGUUGGAGGGAACGUGGCAUCUCCGGAUGUGUUAUAGCCCUUCUUCGAAUACAUAGAGCGGGACUGAGGAACGCAGCGCGCCUUUUAUUAGGUUGGCCCUCGGGUACAUACGCGCUUAGGAUGCUGGCAUAAUGGCUUUAAACGACCCG
Molecule: ribosomal RNA, 618 nt
Filed under: Mrakia blollopis
Lineage: Eukaryota; Fungi; Basidiomycota; Tremellomycetes; Cystofilobasidiales; Mrakiaceae
Description: eukaryotic LSU rRNA
Rfam family: Eukaryotic large subunit ribosomal RNA
Source: RNAcentral